AUGCCAUGGUGUGGGCAUGCUUGUAUGUACUCCUAGAGACGCUCCCAGACUUCCGGGAUGGUCUCAUCCCGCAAUUGCUGAAUUCCGGUGAUCCUAUUUCGUAGGGCAU
Molecule: small nucleolar RNA, 109 nt
Organism: Panicum virgatum (switchgrass)
Lineage: Eukaryota; Viridiplantae; Streptophyta; Magnoliopsida; Poales; Poaceae
Source: RefSeq, a predicted model, not a curated record